This 90-nucleotide transfer RNA is filed under the name Oxalobacteraceae bacterium. RNAcentral describes it as "tRNA-Gln". It matches the Rfam family "tRNA". Rfam says of the family: Transfer RNA (tRNA) molecules are approximately 80 nucleotides in length. Their secondary structure includes four short double-helical elements and three loops (D, anti-codon, and T loops). Lineage: Bacteria; Pseudomonadati; Pseudomonadota; Betaproteobacteria; Burkholderiales; Oxalobacteraceae. The record is from RNAcentral.
UCACCCUUCGCCUAGCUGGUAGGGCACCCGAUUCUGAUUCGGACAGACGGCAAAAACCGUCGUGGCUUGGUUCGAACCCAAGAGGGUGAU